RNAcentral lists this ribosomal RNA (253 nucleotides) under uncultured bacterium. Its description in RNAcentral is "partial 16S ribosomal RNA". It matches the Rfam family "Bacterial small subunit ribosomal RNA", at positions 524 to 776 of the family's 1533-position model. The record is from RNAcentral.
UACAGAGGUGGCAAGCGUUGUUCGGAAUUACUGGGCGUAAAGGGCGCGUAGGCGGCCAUCUAAGUCAGACGUGAAAUCCCCCGGCUUAACCUGGGAACUGCGUCUGAUACUGGAAGGCUCGAGUUUGGGAGAGGGAUGCAGAAUUCCAGGUGUAGCGGUGAAAUGCGUAGAUAUCUGGAGGAAUACCGGUGGCGAAGGCGGCAUCCUGGACCAACACUGACGCUGAGGCGCGAAAGCGUGGGGAGCGAACAGG